GUCGCGAGAUGGCGCAAGAAUAGUUAACGAGCUUCCAAAUAUAUAUAAAGUCAUCUAAUUUGCAAGAAACAUUUAGGGUAGCAGUGAAUUUAUAUAAUAUAAAGAAAGUAUUUGAACUAGCAACGGAAAAUAUUUAAAUAUCAUAAUUUAUUUGAACUUUACUCUACACAUAUAAAAUCGGCAAAUACCUAUUGAUUUUUGUUUGAUCAUAUCUGCUUUAAAACAUGGAAUUUAGUGAACUUUACGCACUAUUUCUGAUGAUUUUAUCAUUUUUAGUUUCCGUUACCAUUCUUAUGGCGAAAGAUGUCUACGAUCCAACUCUAAAGGAAUCAGUGACAAAAAAGACAAAAAAAAAAAUCAUACUUUUUGAGGAUGAUAUUAUAGAUGAAAAGGACGUAAAAGAAGAAGCAAUAUUCCGUUACUUUAAUCCACUUUUUGAACCUGAAUUGUUAGAAUACAGAGCAAUGUUGCUGGAAUCUUAUAAAACAGAAUCAAUGACUGAAGAAGAAAGAAAAAAAGUCGAAGAUAAUGUCGAUAAAAUUGUAGAACUUCAUCGGCUAAAUCCAUAAAAUGAUAAAUUUUCUAAGGUACAAUUUUUUUACCCUAAGGGCAACUCAGAAAGAGUAUAAAUCAAUAAAAAUUAUUCUUGAGUAAAAAUAUACUGUUAUAGCACGAGUAUCGUUAGUAUCAUUUACCACCGACAGAUGGCGCUGGAUAAUUGUGGCGCCUUCCCCUCCUUAUAUAUAUAUCCCUCUAUAGUUCAAUUUACAAGAAGACACUAUGGAUGUUCCUUUCUGAUCGGUAUAAGACAAUAUAUCAGUAAUAUAACCUCAACUCUUUGCCUCAACUUUUGCCUGCGAGCAGCGUCUUUAGGCGUGUAUCAUCAACUUUCCAAUAAUGCACACUCAUGGUUUUGUUUAUGGAUACGCUUCAUAUUCAGAAUUUUUUUUAAACAAAGAAUGACUCACGCAUUUUGCCGUCUGUGCGGUCGAUCUCCGACAGUCACGCCGGCUACCCAGAGAGAAAUUCGUUUUCGAGCGCUCCGCAUCGAAAGGGUUAAGGUAUUUUUACAUUAAAAUAUUAAAGCAAGCUGGCUAGUUAAUUUUGAGAAAAAAACUUUUAAUGUUUUGCUUACUUGCUUGUUUAUAUUCUUCAAAAUUCAUCUAAUUAUCAAGGGGUACGGUAAUGUAAGUAGUAGCGUUCUCUUCUGCUGCUCGGAUUACCGGAGUUCGAUUCCUUGUGCGUAGAUUUUUUUAAAUUUGUUUUCUCUACAUAUAUAUGGUCGAGUCAUAAGUAGCUUCCGAUGCAGCUAUGUAGAAUCUAUUAUUCGAAUUUACCCGCUAUGAGUUACCAAUACAAAGAGUUUUUGAUUUCAUUAAUUACACGAGGUUUCCAUUAGUCUUUUGUCAACAACUUUGUAUGAUACACGUUAAAAUAAACUGCUUCUUUAUCCUCUGAAAUAGAGAGCCAAAAAUUACAUAUUCGUCAUGUGAUGCUUUGGGAAUUUAAACAAGGCAAUAAUGCUAAGGCGACAGCCGAAAAAGUAUGCAGAGUGUAUGGUGAAGGAUUGAUAACUGAUCGGGCAGUUAGAAAUUGGUUCGUAAAAUUCCGUUCUGGAGAUAUGACUUUAAAAGACGAACCGAGGGCGGGACGUCCUUCCGACUUCGACGACAACCUUUUAAAGGCAGUAUUGGAGCAAAAUCCACGUUAAUCGACAAGAUGUAUAGCAGAAAGGUUGAAUACAUCGCAAUCAACCGUUAUCCGCCAUCUGGAGAAAUUAGGGAAUCGUCAAUCGGAAAAAUGUCAUCCUUCUGCACGACAAUGUGCGACCACAUACAGCAAAGGUGACUCAAGAAAAAUUCUUUUGAGCCUGGAUGGUUUGUUUUAUCACAUUCUCUUUACUCCUCGGACCUUGCCCCGACAGACUACCACCUUUUCUGUUCCCUACAAAAUUUCUUGAAUGGAAAAUCUUUCAAUUCUGAAGAGCAAAUCACGCAGGCUGUCGAGAACUUCUUCCAGUCCAAACCAGCCACAUUUUACAAGGAAGGAUUUACAAACUGCCUGGAAGAUGGGAGAAGGUUAUAGAUAAUGGUGGUGAAUACGGAAUAAAUUAAUGUAAUUUUUUUAUUUAAUGAGAGCAAAAUAAAUAUCUGAUAAGGAAACGGAAGUUACUUAUGACUCGACCUAAUAUAUAUAUUACCGGUAUAGUUGGAAAUCCGGCAAUGCUAGUAAUACCCCUGCAUUGUCAUCAAUGCAAAGCGCCUUUUGACAAAGUUAGAAAUGUAUUCAUAUUUCUCACAUUUCCUAGAAAUUCUCGAGAAUGACAAAUGAGAAACCGGUAAAUUAAAAAACCAGAUAUAAAAUAUUUCGUUCUAAACCCGUUUAUCUAACGAUACGAUAAGGAAUAAAAAAUACAGAUUUUCUGUAGACAUCUCUAUGAAUAUCGGUCUAAACGUAAUAUAAUCUUCUCCUACGAUAAGUAACAGUGGGCCCUACAUAAUAACACACCGGCAUAGAGUAAGUUUCAGUUUAUAGAGGUACGCAUAGUAUAGCGACACGCAUAGUCUCAACACCCGCACCAUGCUCGCUUUUGUGUGUGUGUGUGUGUGUGUGUGGGAGCGGGGUGUGGGUUGUUUGUGGGGGGGGAGGUUGCAUAUACUGUGUGUGCCUGCUGUCCGAUAAUGUAUUCUUUUUAAUAUUGCCUUAAGUAGCAUUUGGUGUUCUAUAGAAUGCAUAAGUAUUAUGUUCAAUGUUUAGGAAAAGUCUGUAAGAAUUCUUCUGUUUCCGACUUUGUUAAAAGGCGCUUUGCAUUGAUGACAAUGCCGGGGUAUUACUAGCCGGUAACAUAUAUGUGGGAUUGGAGAAAAUUCAUAAAUAAAAGUGUGGAUAAAUAUAAAGGCAAAAAACGUUACGAUAUGAAUGUUCGAGAACGAUCAUUAUUAAAUAUAUACAUUAAUAUUUCUAGAAUAAGUAAAGAUGUUUUUCUGGUAUGUAGAACUAUAAGAAAUGUUGCCCUCUGUUGUAUGGUGUGAAAAAAUGAGAGGGUAUGAGUACAUGCGUGUUUUUAGCGUGGAUGUGGGAGGAUACGAGAAGCGGUGAUAUAAAAGAAAGGAUUAAAGAGGAGAGAGUCGAAUAAGAGAGUCUAAAAGUUUAAGUGUAAAGAAAGGCUAAUAUAAGCAGCUAAGAGUAAAGAGAAUUUAGAGAGAUCGAGAGUGAAAGAGUGGGGUUACAAAAAAUAUCCUACAUAUAUAUUCAUAAGUUUUGAAGUUUUUAAAAUGAAACUUCUUUACACGCACAGAAGUAAAUAUUCAAGGUCGCGACGCAUGGUUUCUAUGGUUACUAUGUGACUGAAGCUGGACAGGAAAAACGACGCAAGAUGCAAUUCAUACGCGAUUAAGAAAGAUGAAGCAUAUUAUACACAGUAUUGUCUAUUUUCGAUUUUCUCUUCGUGCAUUUCCUCUGAUGAAAGAGGGAAUGUUAGGUAAUCGCACCUUAGGCACGCAUACACCUUUUCGAGGGGGAGUGGAGACGCUGUGAAAUGUUCUGUGAUAUAUAGUGUGUAUUGGAGAGUAUAUCACGGGCAAAAAUCGUAUAAUUGAUCAAUUACAUUUGUACCCACUACAAAUAGAGCAUGAGAGAAAUCUAGGUGAAUAGUGCGUCAUGUAUAUGUAUAUAGGCAAAAUGGAAAAUGUCAGGCGUUUUUAGGCAAUGUAGGAAACAAAAGAAUUAUUACGGACUUUUCCUAGGCAUUAUACAUAAUACUUAGGAGGCAAAUGGCUUUGCUAAUUGACCUAUGGAAUACCGCUAUGGGGUAUAGCAACGAAAAGUCACAUUGCCAAGCUCGAGGCUCAACAAUCCAUAAUCUUACGCACAAUCGUGAAUGCUCCAUGGUACGUCCGUAAUGAAGGAAGGACUUAAACAUUCCCACGAUAGAAGAAGAAAUAACCAAGACAACCUGCAA
RNAcentral lists this unclassified non-coding RNA (3961 nucleotides) under Polistes fuscatus (common paper wasp). RNAcentral describes it as "uncharacterized LOC122516593, transcript variant X5". The record is from RNAcentral. Lineage: Eukaryota; Metazoa; Arthropoda; Insecta; Hymenoptera; Vespidae.